ACAUGCAAGUCGAGCGGAUGAAGGUAGCUUGCUACCGGAUUCAGCGGCGGACGGGUGAGUAAUGCUUAGGAAUCUGCCUAUUAGUGGGGGACAACGUUCCGAAAGGAGCGCUAAUACCGCAUACGUCCUACGGGAGAAAGCAGGGGACCUUCGGGCCUUGCGCUAAUAGAUGAGCCUAAGUCGGAUUAGCUAGUUGGUAGGGUAAAGGCCUACCAAGGCGACGAUCUGUAGCGGGUCUGAGAGGAUGAUCCGCCACACUGGGACUGAGACACGGCCCAGACUCCUACGGGAGGCAGCAGUGGGGAAUAUUGGACAAUGGGGGGAACCCUGAUCCAGCCAUGCCGCGUGUGUGAAGAAGGCCUUUUGGUUGUAAAGCACUUUAAGCGAGGAGGAGGCUACCUGGAUUAAUACUUUAGGAUAGUGGACGUUACUCGCAGAAUAAGCACCGGCUAACUCUGUGCCAGCAGCCGCGGUAAUACAGAGGGUGCGAGCGUUAAUCGGAUUUACUGGGCGUAAAGCGUGCGUAGGCGGCCAAUUAAGUCAAAUGUGAAAUCCCCGAGCUUAACUUGGGAAUUGCAUUCGAUACUGGUUGGCUAGAGUAUGGGAGAGGAUGGUAGAAUUCCAGUGUAGCGGUGAAAUGCGUAGAGAUCUGGAGGAAUACCGAUGGCGAAGCAGCCAUCUGGCCUAAUACUGACGCUGAGGUACGAAAGCAUGGGGAGCAAACAGGAUUAGAAUACCCUGGUAGUCCAUGCCGUAACGAUGUCUACUAGCCGUUGGGGNCCUUGAGGCUUUAGUGGCNCAGCUAACGCCGAAUAAGUAGACCGCCUGGGGAGUACGNCCGCAAGACUNAACUCAAUGAAUUGACGGGGCCCGCACAAGCGGUGGAACAUGUGGUUAAUUCGAUGCAACGCGAAGAACCUUACCU
Molecule: ribosomal RNA, 925 nt
Filed under: uncultured bacterium
Lineage: Bacteria
Description: bacterial SSU rRNA
Rfam family: Bacterial small subunit ribosomal RNA
Source: RNAcentral